Molecule: signal recognition particle RNA, 99 nt
Filed under: Methylovirgula ligni
Lineage: Bacteria; Pseudomonadati; Pseudomonadota; Alphaproteobacteria; Hyphomicrobiales; Beijerinckiaceae
Description: Bacterial small signal recognition particle RNA
Rfam family: Bacterial small signal recognition particle RNA
About the family: The signal recognition particle (SRP) is a universally conserved ribonucleoprotein involved in the co-translational targeting of proteins to membranes. Archaeal SRP consists of a 7S RNA and homologues of the eukaryotic SRP19 and SRP54 proteins.
Source: RNAcentral
CGGGAGGUUGGCGGUGGACGCACCACUCGCCAACCGGGUCAGGUCCGGAAGGAAGCAGCCCAGACGAGACCGGGCGGGUUUCUGUCCAGCCUCCCACCU